Molecule: RNase P RNA, 356 nt
Filed under: Acinetobacter halotolerans
Lineage: Bacteria; Pseudomonadati; Pseudomonadota; Gammaproteobacteria; Moraxellales; Moraxellaceae
Description: RNase P RNA component class A
Rfam family: Bacterial RNase P class A
About the family: Ribonuclease P (RNase P) is a ubiquitous endoribonuclease, found in archaea, bacteria and eukarya as well as chloroplasts and mitochondria.
Source: RNAcentral
GAAGUGGGCUGGACGGUCGCUGCUGUGGAGGUCUCCGUGACUGAAACAGGGGAGGAAAGUCCGGGCUUCAUAGGGCAGGGUGCCAGGUAACGCCUGGGCGGUGUAAACCGACGGCAAGUGCAGCAGAGAGUAGACCGCCUCAUUCGUGAGGUAAGGGUGAAAGGGUGCGGUAAGAGCGCACCGCGUGUCUGGUAACAGUUCACGGCAAGGUAAACCCCACCAGAAGCAAGACCAAAUAGGAAUCCUGAGGCACGGCCCGUGCUGGAUUCGGGUAGGUCGCUUGAGCGUACGAGUGAUUGUACGCCUAGAGGAAUGAUCGUCCUCGACAGAACCCGGCUUACAGGCCCACUUCCAAG